GCUCUGAGACGACUCGAAGCAAACCCCGCGGCGCCCACACCCCACCACCACCACCACACGCGCGCGCACCCACACCGGCGGUCGGUGGCAAGCUGCGGCACGGACGCGGGGCAGAGGCGGCACCGAGCACGCACAGGAAGGUGCAGUGCGGCCGAACGCGCUCGCCAGGUCGAGCUAACAAGGCCGGCGGAGCCUGCUGGAGGGACGAGGGAAACCGCCCUGCGCUGAAGGUGUUCGUGGAAUUGUCUCGGCGGCGCGACAUGGGCGAUUCGUUCGUGCUGCUACAUGCUCGUGGCACGGAUGGACGUUGGAGCACGCCCAGUGUGGCGCGUACGGGAGAGACGGGAAUAUACUCUUUCGCCGGCCAUGUCGCCCUGGCGAGCCGGCUGCCGCUGCCCACGCUUUCCGGCGGCGUUUCCUUGGCGUCGGCAUCAGUGAGGACCGUUGGAACCAGGUUUGCUUCGUAGCAGCAGCUAUGUUCGUCAUUCUCGGUCUAGAGCUCCGGUCUUGAGGAAUCGGUGAACCGUAAGAAGCAGUGGGACGAAGAGAAUGCCACUGCGGUCAAGGAAGUGGAGGCUUCGGGAUGAAUCAAGUAUGAGACUGAGGCCAUCUCAGCGCUGUUUACCUGGCCGAUGCAUUUGAAGCCGUUGAAGUCGCCGAGCCACUCAAGGCAGUGGCCUCUCUCGCUGUGGCUGCCCUGCAAGACGAGGCUGUCCUGUUUCCUUGUCUGAACUAAGGAGCUUUCAAACAGGUUGCUGGUGGUGAUGGCACGGUAAGUUGGCUGCUUGGAGUAGUUAGUGAUCUGAAGCUUACGCACUCACCCCCUGUUGCUACUGUGCCUCUGGGAACCAGAAACAACCUUCCUUUUUCAUUCGGAUGGGGAAAGAAGAACCCAGCUACUGACCAAGAGGCAGUGAAAUCAUUCCUUGGGCUAGUAAAAGGAGCCAGAGAAAUGCGCAUUGAUAGUUUGCAUAUCAUCAUGAGGAUGCAAGUUCCACAGGAAGGUCCAUGUAAUCCUAUUGCUCCCUUAGAGCUGCCUCAUUCACUUCAUGCAUUCCACCAUGUAACUGGCUCCGAUGAGCUCAAUGUGGUAGGACAUAUUUCUGCUGCUACCAUUUAUUGUUAAUCCUUUGAUUACUAAUGUAGUUAAUAGUAACAAUGGACUAACACUUGUAAAUGCCAUUUAUACACUGAAAAGUAGAAAUGUCAUGAGUUUAUUAACCAAUUAUGUC
Triticum dicoccoides is the source of this 1232-nucleotide long non-coding RNA. RefSeq lists it as uncharacterized. Lineage: Eukaryota; Viridiplantae; Streptophyta; Magnoliopsida; Poales; Poaceae. The transcript has 3 exons. The record is from RefSeq and is a predicted model, not a curated record.